This 395-nucleotide ribosomal RNA is filed under the name uncultured bacterium. Its description in RNAcentral is "bacterial SSU rRNA". It matches the Rfam family "Bacterial small subunit ribosomal RNA", at positions 521 to 916 of the family's 1533-position model. The record is from RNAcentral.
UAAUACGUAGGGGGCAAACGUUGCUCGGAAUUACUGGGCGUAAAGGGUGAGUAGGCGGCUGUGCAAGUCAGGGAUGAAAUCCCGCGGCUCAACUGCGGAACGGUCCUUGAAACUGCGCGGCUUGAGGACAGUAGAAGAGAAUGGAAUUCCCGGUGGAGCGGUGAAAUGCGUAGAUAUCGGGAGGAACACCUGAGGCGAAAGCGGUUCUCUAUGCUGCUCCUGACGCUGAGUCACGAAAGCCAGGGGAGCGAACGGGAUUAGAUACCCCGGUAGUCCUGGCCAUAAACGAUGGAUACUGGAUAUUCCUGCAGUUGUGUGGGAGUGUCGAAGCUAACGCGUUAAGUAUCCCGCCUGGGGAGUACGGUCGCAAGGCUGAAACUUAAAUGAAUUGACGG